UAGGGAAUAUUGGACAAUGGGUGCAAGCCUGAUCCAGCCAUGCCGCGUGCAGGAAGAAAGCCUUCUGGGUUGUAAACUGCUUUUGCCAGGGGAUAAAAACACUUUGCGAAGUGGAUUGAAGGUACCUGGUGAAUAAGCCACGGCUAACUACGUGCCAGCAGCCGCGGUAAUACGUAGGUGGCAAGCGUUGUCCGGAUUUAUUGGGUUUAAAGGGUGCGUAGGCGGUUCAUUAAGUCAGUGGUGAAAUACGGCAGCUUAACUGUCGAGGUGCCAAUGAUACUGGUGGACUUGAGUACUGAUGAGGUAGGCGGAAUGGACGGUGUAGCGGUGAAAUGCUUAGAGAUCGUCCAGAACACCGAUAGCGAAGGCAGCUUACUAAGGAGUAACUGACGCUGAGGCACGAAAGUGUG
RNAcentral lists this ribosomal RNA (410 nucleotides) under uncultured Bacteroidota bacterium. RNAcentral describes it as "bacterial SSU rRNA". It matches the Rfam family "Bacterial small subunit ribosomal RNA", at positions 355 to 763 of the family's 1533-position model. Lineage: Bacteria; Pseudomonadati; Bacteroidota. The record is from RNAcentral.